This 265-nucleotide ribosomal RNA is filed under the name uncultured archaeon. RNAcentral describes it as "partial 16S ribosomal RNA". It matches the Rfam family "Archaeal small subunit ribosomal RNA", at positions 716 to 982 of the family's 1478-position model. The record is from RNAcentral.
AGUCACUGACAUUAGAUACCCGCGUAGUCCCAGCUGUAAACGAUGCAGACUAGGUGUUUGGACGGCCACGUGCCGUUAUAGUGCCGCAGGGAAGCUGUUAAGUCUGCCGCCUGGGGAGUACGAUCGCAAGAUUGAAACCUAAAGGAAUUGGCGGGGGAGCACCACAAGGGGUGAAGCUUGCGGUUUAAUUGGAGUCAACGCCGGAAAUCUCACCGGGAGCGACAGCAGUGUGAUAGCCAGAUUAAAGGUCUUGCUAGACGAGCUG